Molecule: long non-coding RNA, 3061 nt
Organism: Gallus gallus (chicken)
Lineage: Eukaryota; Metazoa; Chordata; Aves; Galliformes; Phasianidae
Source: Ensembl
GGAAAUGCAAGAUGUCACUUUUUUAUACAUAAAAGUAACUAGAUAUUCUGCACAUUGCAGCACUUUGUGGACCACUUUCCAGGACAUAUUUUCUCUCCCAGCUGUCAAAAUAUUUAAUGCUUUGAAUUAGCAUUUCAGUUAAGUGCUGUAUUUUGUUUCUGCAGUUUUGAGAAGUCAUACCUUGGUCACAUAAUAGCAGAUUUCUGUGAACUUCUGGGAUAAACCGUGGCUUUAUUCAGGGUACUCAAAGCCUAAAGUGCUGUGAUUUUCAAAAGUGCACUGAGGAGCUCAGGCUGUAAGUUCACCUUCCUGUGUUGGACAUGUGGACGGAAUUAUCACUUUCAAGCUCUAGCUGUGCCUUUUGGGAAGAGAAUGUGAACAGAUGAAAGGAAGGAAAAAUUCCUUUCCAGCUGGAAAGAAAGAGUGGGUGCAGACAUGGGGAUCAGCAGAGCUCAAAAUGAGAGCACUUAUGGGAAAGGGAAGAGCCUUCAUCAAGCUGCGGGUCACCUCUAGCUUGUGCAUUGUGGAAUAAAACUGUCCUGAGGCAAAGGAAGCAGGAGAAGAAAGCAAUGAUGCCCAGAUCAUAGCUAUCUGGGUACUUCAGGUAGCCAGCAGAAAGGAGUUCCAGCAUCAGUGCUCAAGACCAGUGAAUGGAAAGUAGCAGAAGUUGGAAAGAAAGCUACAGGGGGAUCGAUUUGCAGCCAGUGCUAGUUGGAAUAGCAAAAAGGAGAGAAAUCCCUGGAAGCAGCAGGAGAGUUGAGCCUGGCAGGACAGGAGGAGAAAGGACUUGAUAAGAAGAUGCAGCUUUUUCCUUUGCUUUCCUGAUGAGUUGAACUCAAAGCAGCAGCACACUUCUACUGCAGAAGGAAGCUGUCUGACUUUUUGUCUAGAGCCUGGCACCGUGACUGCUCUGUUGGCCCCAUAGUAGCUAGAGGAACCCAGAGGUCUCCUGGGCGGCAGCAGGACCAGCCACAAUGGGCACCAUCUCAUCACGUUCAACAAUCUCAUCCAUUCCUUAGCGACCAUGCAAAUACCACAGUAACCCUAGGUGGUGUCAGCUGCUCCAUUUGACACACCUCAGAGGGCUAACAACUUACUGUUCAGGAAGAAUCUAACCAAAUGGAUAAAGCGAAUUCCCAUGAGAAAGCAGUCCCAAUUCAUUAAUGUAUUCCUAUGGCUAUGGAUUCCCUUGAGUUUCUGAAAAAAGCAGAAGAUGAUAAACCUAACAUUUCUAGGGAAACUUAGUAAGAACAGAAACAUGCAGUUAGAAAACAGUCUCCCAAAGAUAUGUCACAAUUUUGAGAAGUGUGUCAAGACCUGAUUUUGCCUUAUAUAGAAGUGAUAAGAUGUCUUAAAAGCAGAAAAAUAUGUAUAAGUUGUAGAAGAAUGACUUUCCAAGACACUGAAUGAUGAAUUAUGUGCAUUCAUAGUGCCAGUAAGUUGGUACUAUUCCCAAUUAAACCAGCUACCUCUGAAGAAUCUAUCCCAUUUUUACAAGAGGGACUGAAGCAGGAGAAUCCAUUACAGACACUGCUAUGUUGCUCAAAACAGGACAGAAUUAAAUCAUACAAGCACUAAAAUCAGCUUUCUAGUAUGUAUAUUUUACAACACAGUAUGAUUUGUCCCCCUGGCUUCUGAAAAAGAGAGUGAAAUAUCUUGGAAAUACUGCUAGUAUUUUCAAGAAAAAUAAUUUUUCUUGGGCAUAGCAAAUAGCUUUUGAAUAUUAAAAGCAGACCAAAGCAAUUAGCAAAAGUUGGUUUUCCUCAUGUAUUGGGCAUGAAUGUUCCUUUGGGUACAUUAGUACAUGGGCCUUGCAGAGCUCAGUGUUAUAUCACAAAACAAUGCCUGCAAUGGAUAUAAAAAAGAACAUAAAAUACGGAUUAGGGUCGCCUUGCAAGGAAAUAACUAUGAAGAGGUGGGAUGUGAAUCGAAACCAGUAUUUCCUUGUCUAAAGGUCAGCUGUGUUAAAAAUGGUGAGAAAUUUAGAGACGACUAAGUUCAAAGUUAUAGCCCUCAAGACAAUGCAUAGUCCAUCAGGGCAGUAAACCUCCAAAGGCCCUAAGACAGCUUUUUCCAGGAGUUUAGUUGCCAGAGUUUCUUUCCUCGAGGUAAGCUCUCAGCAAGCAUUCAGAUUCAAACACUUCUGAGCUUCCUGAGAAAAGAUAAACCACAGGUCUAGAAACAGAAAUAACAAGUGUCAGUUCAAGAGUAGAAGAAUAUCUUAAGCUUUCUAUCUUUGCUUAGCACAGUCAGAGAAAGUAUCACCUUUCUGCAUAAAAGGUCAUAACAACCACUGUGUUAGUGCCCUGCUAUAUUGAAACUACAUCUGACAGCACGCACAUGCCAACAGAAACAGGAAUGAUAUAGUGAGGAAUAACUACAGUUAUGAAAGGGCACUAUUUGUCACUGCUUGAGUCAUUUGGCUCUGUCAGUGAUGUACAAGUGAAGAAAAGAUUGCUGCUGAGUCUUGUUGUCAGUGCCUAUAACCUCUAAAGCCAGUGACAGAAUAAAAAGUGGGACCAUUUUAGGAAAUUGCAUUAUAGUCUAGUCUUUGCUCUGGGGACUUCCUUCAGAGCAUAGGUGCAUUAGAAACAGGAAACUGUUACUUUACCUGCAAAGAAUUCUCUUGAAGGAAGGACUUGAUCCCGGAGACCAUGCAGCAUACUGUAGACACUCAUGCUGUUUGAAGAAGACUUGUCUAUGUACAGAUACCUUAUCUUCCAGACACAGAAGUAACUGAUGUCCAAAGCAAGACUGACAGAUCAAGAUUUUCUCAUUCAUACAACAUACAGGAACCUAAACUGCAUCUAGACACAGACAUAACAAGAUCACACUGCAAGUGUCCGCAAUCUUGCACUCCUAUCUGCUAAUACAGGUUCUGCCUUUGCUAGGCAGGUUCCCCAGACUUGUUGCUGAAUUGUAAAGAACAAGCAUCCUUCUGAAAAGAAGGCUGUGGCAGGUUAGAAACAAGUCUAAUGUUAACGUGGUUCAUACUUGACAAAAAAAUGCAUGUGGUAGACUAAGGGCAUAUAAUCUCUUUAUCAUUAUUAUUCAAUAAAGG